UACGUAGGGUGCAAGCGUUGUCCGGAAUUAUUGGGCGUAAAGAGCUCGUAGGCGGCUUGUCACGUCGGCUGUGAAAACCCGGGGCUCAACCCCGGGCCUGCAGUCGAUACGGGCAAGCUAGAGUUCGGCAGGGGAGACUGGAAUUCCUGGUGUAGCGGUGAAAUGCGCAGAUAUCAGGAGGAACACCGAUGGCGAAGGCAGGUCUCUGGGCAUUAACUGACGCUGAGGAGCGAAAGCAUGGGGAGCGAACAGG
Molecule: ribosomal RNA, 253 nt
Filed under: uncultured bacterium
Lineage: Bacteria
Description: partial 16S ribosomal RNA
Rfam family: Bacterial small subunit ribosomal RNA
Source: RNAcentral